This 3476-nucleotide long non-coding RNA is filed under the name Drosophila guanche. Lineage: Eukaryota; Metazoa; Arthropoda; Insecta; Diptera; Drosophilidae. The record is from RNAcentral.
GCUUUGAUGAACGUAAAACAAUGAUACAAAAUAAUAUGUUUAUAUAGAUAGAAACAAAAAAGUACCAAUUUGAUAGCGCGUGAUUUCAUCGUUGGUAUUGGAUGUUUGGAUACCAAAAACCGCAAUGUCGCUCUCUUUCGUGACAUAUUUGCAAAUGUAUUUAAUUGACUUGACCGAAUUGCAAUCACUUGACAUGCGCUCUAAAGCAGUCUUGAACAGCCUGACCAAUGCAUGAUGUUCAUGAAGCAUUUGCUGUAGAUCUUGGAGAAUUGCUCUCUUCGUAGCUGUGUUGAUCCCUUGACGCCUGUCAAGUUGUUCUUCCAUAUUACCCACAUUUCAAGAAUUUUUUCUGUGCAUCUUUUGUAGGUUACAAUGAUCCAAUGCGAUGGUAAUAGGAUUUUCAUUCAAGCACUAUGUGGUAAACGACAUUCUUUGUUUUUUGGUCAGGCGCAAGAACAAAUAAAGUACAAUUGACCAUGAGAAAAACAUUCAUUUUCUAGAUUGAGGCCACAAAUAGUCAAGGAUUGGCCCUGUGACUUGUUGGUCGUCAUGGCGAAGGCAAGACGAAUCGGGAAUUGAAAUUGUUUAAACUCAAAGGGCAUAUCCGUUGGGAUCAUCGGAAUCCUUGGAAUAAGAACUUCCUUAUCUUUAAAUUUUCCUUUAAGUAUCGACGCAUGAAUCACAUUGCUCAUCAGUUUUCUUAUCACCAAUCGCGUUCCAUUGCACAAUUUUGGUUGGUUUAAAUUUCUACGCAUGAUGACUACCGAGCCAACUUUAAGUUUUAAAUUGUGUGGUGGUAAACCAGGCACAUCCAAGGAGUUUAAAAAAGCAGUUGGAUUAUUAGUGGCUUCUUCUUCGUUUGUUACACAGUCGAUAGAUUUGAAUGAAACCGAGUACCUACGAUUUGAUUUUGAAUUAUAAAAUUGAGGUCAUCUACAUCUUUAUUUUUAGCGGCCAAAAUUGCUCGCUCACUUAACCAUUUAUUAUUUUUGUGGUUAGCAAUGAUAUCCGGAAUACUUUGUUGAUAAGCUCGUUUUUUGAUGAUACGAAAUUGCAACAAUUUGGAGGAAAUGAAAUCAAACCGCUCGAUUUGUCAACAGGAACACGGCCAUUCAACAAUGCAACUCUCAUAUUUACAGACAGUUGAAGUUUCUUUACAUAUCGCCACAGAUUUGAUGCUUUGAGGCAAGCGUUUAUUUCGUCUGCAGCAGUAGAUCUUGGAAUAACUGGUAGUGUUUGUCCGAAAUCGCCGGAUAAUAAAAUCAUUGCACCACCAAAACAUCUCGAGUCAUUGCGCAGAUCUUUUAAUGUUCGGUCUAGUGCUUCCAAUGCGCGUUUGUGCGCCAUGCGCAUUUGUCCCAUAUGAUGAUUUUUGAUGCUACUAAAACUUUGGCCAUUGCGGAGUUUUUCGAAAUGUUACAUGUCGGUUGUUCAGUAGUUUGAAGGUUUAAUGGCGAUUUUAACGCUGAGUGAGCCGUACGGCAUCCGUUUAACCAUGUGGCCGCUAUUCCAGAAGAAGCAAUUGCUACCGCAAUUUCGGAUCUCGCACGUACAGUGGCCAAAAUCAAUGACAUGAGGAAUGUCUUCCCAGUUCCACCAGGGGCAUCAAAAAAAAAGCCGCAAUUCUCCAAUUCCAAUUCUUUACUAAAUGCGUCAUUCAUUCCGCGAUCUGGCGCUGGCAUUCCUAACCUAACUAACAAACUGCCGCACAUGAGGUAACACAUAUCUUCGAUCAAGAGCAAAGUCUGGUUAUGGAUCUCCUCAUUCACCUCAAGAUCGUAAUUUCUUGAGCUGACGCGAAUUCGAUGUAAAAUAUCUUCGGACAUUUUAUCUUUGUAUUUGUUCCACAGGUCAAGUGGUUUCGAUGGGAAGCAUGUUGAAAUGAUGAUAGCAAAUAAUGUGCGUAUCUGACUUGGAGAUGCAGAAAUAAUUGCUUCAGCGAUUGUCGUGUCCCAAUGAGUAUCGUUUUCAAGCAAAUUUAGCUCUUGACAUGCUGCACGAAAUGUGGGGCACACGAUACCAUUAACAGUUCGAAGUGAUUCAAAUGAUGUUGGCCCUCGAACAUGUACCAGCAACAACCGCAAAUAGAAACAUUCAUCAUUCUUCGGAUGAACUGUGUAAAUACGACCAAGAGCAUCAGUAGAACGCAUAUCUGGAUGACCAUCGCCUUGCUUCCGACGUUGAAAUUUCUUCGAUGUAGCGUUCCAAGUUUAAUAACGUGGCAUUUGACAAAUCGCAAAGAAACUGGUCAGUGUUAUCGCUAGAGGUGUUUCGGCGCGUUGAGCAGCAUUCGACGCUUUGAAAUAUACUCUCUGACCGUUCUCUAGAUGCACCCCCAAAUGUAAAACAGUGGGAUGACGUUCGUGAAUAGGGAAUGAAAAUAUACGCCAAACUGCUUCAUUGCAGUUCACAUAUCUACCAACUUGAUAGCGCGUGAUUUCAUCGUUGGUAUUGGAUGUUUGGAUACCAAAAACCGCCAUGUCGCUUCCUUUCGUGACAUAUUUGCAAAUGUAUUAAAUUGAAUUGACCGAAUUGCAAUACUCAACAUUACAAUGUGCUUUGAAUUUUUUGGAAAGAAGUGGCGAAUAUGGAACAAUCCAACUGUUGUCUACUACGAAAUCGUUUCCUUUCACUUUAGUUGUGACAGUUCUACCAUUAUCAUCGGGCGAUCGACACCGAUACAAUGGAUAACCAUCGUUGCCUGUAAUGGUCUCUGCCGUCAACUUUCGUGGAUACAGUUUGGAACACUUGCCGUCGACCAUGCACGGUGAUUGUCGGUUGAUAGUGCCACACGGUCCAUGAAUCAUAUUCGUGACUACAACAUCAUGUAGGUCUGGAUCGGUUUCAGGAGCAGGAAUCUCCGCACAUAUGAUGUCAUCUAUUUGAUCUGGCCGAAUUCUUUCGACUAACCAAAUCAGAAUGUGAGCAUGCGGUAAGCCUCAGUUUUUCCAUUCGAUUGAAUACAUCCAGCAUCGAGUAUUCCCAAAGACGUGUUGCUUAACAAUGUAAUUCCUUAGUGACCGAAUUUUUUGCCUGAAAACACGUGCGGUGAUGUCGUGUCCAUAACUUGAUGUUUGUCCGGGAAGCAGCAAUUGAAUAAUUUCUAUCCAUUUUGGAUGUAAAUGUAAUGAAUAGAUCUGGCCGACCAUAAUGACGAACAUAUGUCAUUGCAUCUUGCGCAUUUUCAUGCAAAUGACGCGGGCUGCCUAUGUAUGUCGCCGGUAAAAUAGUCAAUCGACCAACAUUUUCUGAAUCUCCUUCUGUGCUAAUUUCAUCGCGUAAAUGGAUAUACUCUUCCGAACGCAAUUUAGCCUGAUUCAACCGAAUGAAAGUCAGGCGCUCCGUUUCGAUUUUAACGUACAUGUCAACGCAAUAUUGUUGAAGCAGUCGACGAAAUCGCAACAAAUAAUUGUCAGAAUUUUCUAGAAUCAUCAAACGAUAUUCGUAAUAAUUUAUCAAAGUAACCUUCUUGGUAG